Equus caballus (horse) is the source of this 370-nucleotide long non-coding RNA. RefSeq lists it as uncharacterized. The record is from RefSeq and is a predicted model, not a curated record. Lineage: Eukaryota; Metazoa; Chordata; Mammalia; Perissodactyla; Equidae.
UAUAACGUUCCAGGUCUUCUGCUUGUGGCUUGAUCUGCAUCGUUCCACAUGCUCUCCAACUGCCCCACGAACCACGGCCCAGCACAGCGCAUCUCAGAGAGAUUUGGCACACUCAGGCUGUCAUGUGGAGGGAGGAGGCGGAGGGCAACGGGCAGAAGCGAGACCCGUGAGGAAGCUCUGGAUGAUAGAAGAUGGUGGCCUGAAUUGGGAGAUUUAACUGAGGCCUCCUCGCUGUGUGCAGAAGACUCCAGGGCACUCUGUGUAGCCAAGCAAGAAAGUGAGAAACCAGACUUUAAACUGUCAUUUAAUCAAGGAACAAAAAUAAAUUCUUAAUUAGGCUUUGCUGACUGCAUAUCAAUUACAGUUCCAU